UUCAAAUCAAAGGUCAAACUUUUCCAAGAAGAUUUAUAAUCAAAGAUCAAGUUUUCCAUAGAAGAUUUAUAAUCAAAUCAAAGGUCUCUUUUAACCAAACGACCAAAUUUUAGAUUAAAAUAUUCUUAAAUGCGAUUAAAAAAGUUUAAAAAAAAAAAAAAAAAAAAAACUUUGUUUGAUUUGAAUAAUCAAAUGGACCACGUGUAGA
This 208-nucleotide long non-coding RNA is filed under the name Vitis vinifera (wine grape). RNAcentral describes it as "long non-coding RNA (VVIN_LNC001963)". The record is from RNAcentral. Lineage: Eukaryota; Viridiplantae; Streptophyta; Magnoliopsida; Vitales; Vitaceae.